GACGAACGCUGGCGGCGUGCUUAACACAUGCAAGUCGAACGGAAAGGCCUGCUUUCCCUUGUGGAUUGCGGGUACUCGAGUGGCUAACGGGUGAGUAACUCGUGGGUGAUCUGCCCCCAACUUCGGUAUAAGCCUGGGAUACUGGGUCUAAUUUCCGAUAGGACUGCAGGGUGGUUCCUGCGGUGGGAAACGAUUUUCUAGUGGUUGGGGUUGGGUUGGCGGCCUGUCAGCUUGCUGGUAGGGUAAUGGUCUACCACGGCGGCGACGGGUAGCCGGACUGAGAGGGUGGACGGCGACAGUGGGACUGAGAUACGGCCCAGACGCCUACGGGAGGCAGCAGUGGGGAAUAUUGGGGAAUGGGCGGAAGCCUGCUGCAGCGACGCUGCGUGGGGGAUGACGGCAUUCGGGUUGUAAACUCCUUGCGAGCGCGAGGAGGCAGCCUGGUUGGAAGGGUGGUGACGGUAGUGGUAGAAGAAGCACCGGCUAACUACGUG
RNAcentral lists this ribosomal RNA (494 nucleotides) under uncultured bacterium. RNAcentral's name for it is "partial 16S ribosomal RNA". It matches the Rfam family "Bacterial small subunit ribosomal RNA", at positions 28 to 507 of the family's 1533-position model. The record is from RNAcentral.